This 450-nucleotide ribosomal RNA is filed under the name uncultured bacterium. Its description in RNAcentral is "bacterial SSU rRNA". It matches the Rfam family "Bacterial small subunit ribosomal RNA", at positions 354 to 796 of the family's 1533-position model. The record is from RNAcentral.
GUGGGGAAUAUUGGACAAUGGGCGAAAGCCUGAUCCAGCCAUGCCGCGUGUGUGAAGAAGGUCUUCGGAUUGUAAAGCACUUUAAGUUGGGAGGAAGGGCAGUAAGCUAAUACCUUGCUGUUUUGACGUUACCGACAGAAUAAGCACCGGCUAACUUCGUGCCAGCAGCCGCGGUAAUACGAAGGGUGCAAGCGGUAAUCUGAAUUACUGGGCGUAAAGCGCGCGUAGGUGGUUCAGCAAGUUGGAGGUGAAAUGCCCGGGCUCAACCUGGGAACUGCCUCCAAAAAUGCAUGGCUAGAGUACGGUAGAGGGUAGUGGAAUUUCCUGUGUAGCGGUGAAAUGCGUAGAUAUAGGAAGGAACACCAGUGGCGAAGGCGACUACCUGGACUGAUACUGACACUGAGGUGCGAAAGCGUGGGGAGCAAACAGGAUUAGAUACCCCGGUAGUCC